GACGAACGCUGGCGGCGUGCUUAACACAUGCAAGUCGAACGGAAAGGCCCUGCUUUUGUGGGGUGCUCGAGUGGCGGACGGGUGAGUAACACGUGAGUAACCUGCCCUUGACUUUGGGAUAACUUCAGGAAACUGGGGCUAAUACCGGAUAGGAGCUCCUGCUGCAUGGUGGGGGUUGGAAAGUUUCGGCGGUUGGGGAUGGACUCGCGGCUUAUCAGCUUGUUGGUGGGGUAGUGGCUUUCCAAGGCUUUGACGGGUAGCCGGCCUGAGAGGGUGACCGGCCACAUUGGGACUGAGAUACGGCCCAGACUCCUACGGGAGGCAGCAGUGGGGAAUAUUGCACAAUGGGCGGAAGCCUGAUGCAGCAACGCCGCGUGCGGGAUGACGGCCUUCGGGUUGUAAACCGCUUUCGCCUGUGACGAAGCGUGAGUGACGGUAAUGGGUAAAGAAGCACCGGCUAACUACGUG
This 468-nucleotide ribosomal RNA is filed under the name uncultured bacterium. RNAcentral's name for it is "partial 16S ribosomal RNA". It matches the Rfam family "Bacterial small subunit ribosomal RNA", at positions 28 to 507 of the family's 1533-position model. The record is from RNAcentral.